CAGCCGCCACGGGAACACGGAGGGUGCAAGCGUUAAUCGGAAUUACUGGGCGUAAAGCGCACGCAGGCGGUCUGACAAGUCAGAUGUGAAAUCCCCGGGCUUAACCUGGGAACUGCAUUUGAAACUGUCAGGCUGGAGUCUUGUAGAGGGGGGUGGAAUUCCAGGUGUAGCGGUGAAAUGCGUAGAGAUCUGGAGGAAUACCGGUGGCGAAGGCGGCCCCCUGGACAAAGACUGACGCUCAGGUGCGAAAGCGUGGGGAGCAAACAGGAUUAGAUACCCCCUGUAGUCCCUGUCUCUUAUC
Molecule: ribosomal RNA, 301 nt
Filed under: uncultured bacterium
Lineage: Bacteria
Description: partial 16S ribosomal RNA
Rfam family: Bacterial small subunit ribosomal RNA
Source: RNAcentral